RNAcentral lists this unclassified non-coding RNA (387 nucleotides) under Hevea brasiliensis (rubber tree). The record is from RNAcentral. Lineage: Eukaryota; Viridiplantae; Streptophyta; Magnoliopsida; Malpighiales; Euphorbiaceae.
UCACUAAUCCACUAUAUCAGAAGACCAAACUUGUGCAAUUUCUUUCAACUCACCCUGAUGAGAAUGGCCAUGUAGCAGAUGUAAUGCAAAGAGAGUUUGCAUAUUGAUUUCUUGUCUCAAACCAUUGAUGUGGUUUCUUGUCUCAAACCAUUGAUAUAGUAAAUACUUUUGGUGAAAAUGAAUCUGAAUCCCAUGAAGGAUGCAUUUGAUCACGUUUCAAAGAAGCAAAAGCUAUCUAGUUCUAAAGCUGAAGAAGUGAUCGACCAGAUCAUGCAAGAAAUUGGAAAGGCAAUGGAAAUAAUACAAUCUGGACACUAUAGCUCUAAAUUUAACUAUAAAUUUGUUCUCGGUGAGCUUAAUGAAAAGUUGCAAGAAAUUUUCCUAUCA